Long non-coding RNA from Mustela putorius furo (domestic ferret), 4710 nucleotides. Lineage: Eukaryota; Metazoa; Chordata; Mammalia; Carnivora; Mustelidae. The record is from Ensembl.
CAAAAAGUCAUAGUAGUAGUCACAAGACGACUCCUAGAUAUAUACCCAAGAGAACUGAAAACUUACGUCCUCAUAAAAAUGGUCAUAGUACCAUUAUUCCUAAUCGAGAAAACGUGGAAACAGCCUUAAUGCCUAUCAACUGAUAAAUGGAUACAUUCAAUGAGGUAUAUCAAUACAACGGAAUAUGAUUUACCAUAAAAAGGGUUGGAACUCUGAUGCUUGCCACAGCAUCAAUGAACCUUGAAAACAUUAUGAGAAAUCAAAGGCUCAGAGAGGUGAAACCACCCAAUGACAUGUGGCAUGUUACACAGUCUCACAAAUACGCAAGCAUCUUGAAUUUGGGAGCCCAAGGAGACCUUCAAAAAAUCUCAAGGUCAAUCCAUGUCUGGAAAGGGCAGUCUGGCCAAAAACACAUUCUGGUCACGACAGCUAUGGCGCUGGCUUCGGCCUGCUACAUCGUUCCAGGGCACAUACAGAAAAACUCCCAUCUACUGACCCAACAUCCUGGCUGCACCAGCUGCCUGCUUCGCCUGUACUUGGAAAUCAUCAGCUACCCAGUGAAGAUACAAGAGGCUAACUUGGAGAGGGUGGACCAGACCUGGUGGCUCAGGGAGACAGGGGAGACUGUCAUUUCCACUGGGGAAAUAACAAGGUUUCCCGUCUCACCCUGAAAGCACUUCAAUUUGCAGCCCCUGAGACAGUUAAAAACCUGAAAUGCUGAAGCCAGGAAUGUGUCACCUCAGCAGUCCAAGAACUUCUGUGCAGUGGGGAGGCCACCUCAGGUCCUACCCAACUUGGAACCAAAAAUUCCUGUGAAAUUUUUGUGAUGACCAAGGAAACUAUUCUCACAUUUACAACACAGGCAGCUGUGGGGCCAGGGUUGGGGUGAGGGGGACAAGGCAAGCCACAGUUCAGCCCAGAAGGGAGAGGCCUCCCUAGGGCAGCAGCCACCAUUUUGAAGAAAGCUUACAGUGACAGACAUAGUGUAGAGACAGUCACGGCAGGGGCGUAGAACUUCAGGAAAGUAGUUGAGGUGUUCUUUUUUGGAGCCAAUGAGGAUAGACAGUUUGUUCAUCAAAUAACUGGCUUGGAGCAUAGUGUCUUUUUCUUUUUUCUUUUUUUUUAAGAUUUUAUUUAUUUGAGAGAGAAAGUGAGAAAAAGAGAGCACGAGCAGGGGCGCAAGGGUAGAGGGAGAAGCAGACUCCCCGAUGAGCAGGGAGACCAAAGUGGGGCUGGAUCCCAGGACCCUGGGAUCAUAACCUGAGCCAAAGGCAGACACCCAACGAAUGAGCCACCCAGGUGCCCAGAGCAUAGUCUUUAAGGAAAAAAAAAAAAAAAAGACAACAGAUACCUCAUAUAUUUAAUUUUAACUUAAGACAUGUAAACACCAGUCUUUAAAUGUAGAUGGAGUUCCUUUCUUGUACAGUGGAUCAAUGAACUCCGAGUUGUCUUUCUUGCAUAGGUCUUUCCUACACACUCUUAGGUAUUGCCCUCAAUUUCCAGUUUGGGUCCUAUUGAAGCAGAGCAAAAUCUUAAGGGCAUUUGGGAAGCAAAUGGAAUGCAUUUUUCUGCAAGAUCUUUCCAAUCUUCUUUCCAAUCUUGUACAAUUGUGGUGUUCACAUCGAGUUCAAAAGCAGCUUUUUUAGCAACUCAUCAAAUCUUUCUGAGGUAAUAAAUUUAGUUUUCAAGAGGGUAUUACUUUCCUAUUGUUGCUGUAACAAACUGUCACAUAUUUAGCUGCUCAAAACAAGACCUAUUUUCUAUCUCCUAGGUCUGUAGGUCAGAAGUUCAGAGUCCUCUGCUUAGGGUCCCACAGGGCUGAAAUAGAGGAGUUGAUAGAAUCUCAUUCCUUACUAGAAGCUCUUAGGGGAGAAUCGCUUCCAGAAUCAUUUGGGAUGUUGGCAGAAUUUAGUUCUAUGAGGUUGUAGGAUUGAGAUCCCUGUUGCUUGGUGAGCUGUUGGCCAGGGGUCACUCUCAUGUUCUGGAGGCUACCCACAUUCCCUGGCUCUCAGUGUCCUUUUUCAAUCUUCAAAUCCAUCACAGGUGGGGUCAGUCCUCACACUUCUCAUCUCUCUGAUCUUUCCUUCUGCCUAUCUCUCCUGCCUCCCCUUCUGCUUUUACAGGAUUACCUUCAACCUUGCCCAGAAAAUCCAGGAUAAUCUCCUUAUUUUAAGGCUGGUUGAUUAAUAAUCUUAAUUCCAUCCUUUUAGAUCAGCACCUAGAGCUUGAAAAAUCAGGGGACAGGAAUCUUUGGUAAAAUUAGAAUUCUGCCUAUGCUAAAUAGAAUAGUCUCUUUUGCUUUAUACUCAUAGUUCACAAAUUAUGAAAUAUUUAAUUAAAUAUUUAAAAUAAUAAUUACAAGUGGCAAAAGCAAUCUGGGCACAAAUGACAACUGAACAACUUGAUUUGGAGGAACAGAAGUGUGUAAUUUAAAAUACUAGAGAGUAGCCUAUAAGCUGUGAGCGUGCAACACGGCAUAAACAUUUGUCAGUGCAUUUUCCCAAGAGGUGGUGAGUAUUGAUCGGUUAAAUGCAAGUUGGUUGACAGAAUUCUAGUGAAACCAAUGAAAGGAGAGAAGUCAUGUGAUCACCUUGAUAGAUGAGGACUGGAAGCUCUGAGUGGUUGGGGAUUGUUCUGAUGGCAUUUUCUAAAGGGUACUGGAUGGGGUCCCAGCCUCUUUUUGGCACCCCUCCCAGAUGAAAAGUGCCUGAGAUUUCUUCUUUGUUGGCUGAUCACUUUCUCUGGAGGGUAAUCCUCUAGAACUCAGUCUGUGGUGGAGCUAGUGAUAGGAAUAAGCCCAACCUGUAGUGUUAUGAGAGCCGAGCUUGGGAACAGGGCCAGUGGUUCAGAAUGUAGACUUUAAAAAUUUAUUCUGCCACUGUUUUCAGACUGUACCUCUUCCCGGUGUUCAGAAUGACCUGAUGUUGCCAAAUGCUUGAUUUUUGCCGGUUCAUGUUGAGUUUCUUGCUUCAAUUAUCUAGGCUUUGGCUUUCCUCCCCGCUUAGUCCUACCACUUAGCCAUAUGCUUUACAGCUUUAAAAUUUUUGUUUCCUCUGUUUCUGUUUCUGCAACAUCUGAAACACGGGUCCCUUUGCUUGGCACACAGUGCACUUUUCAAAAUGUCCACAAGUGAUUUGGACAUUUUACUACUUUUAUUGGGAAUGUGACUGUAACUUGAGACUUCCUUCACAUCACAUUGUUAAAAAUAUUGUAUUGAUCUUGGGGAAUGUAAACAACUGUUUUUGCUAUAUAAACAUCAGCACCAGGAUGCCUGGGUGGCUCAGUCAGUUAAGCGUCUACGGUCGGCUCAGGUCAUGAUCCCAGAGUUCUGGGAUGGAGUCCCACAUCAGGCUCCCUGUUUAGCAGGGAGUCUGCUUCUGCCUCUGCCUGCUGUUCUCCCUGCUUGUGCUUGCUCUCUUGUUCUCUCUCUGACAAAUAAGUAAAAUCUUGAAAAAAAAAAUUUUAACAUUAGGCCCCCAAAAUCUUACACUGUGAUAUAUAUUUGGAUAUGAAAAAUUAAGAAGCAUUUUAUUGAUAAAAUAUUGACUGGAGAGGCAUUCUGUAAUACAUACACCUUCUUCAUGAAAAGAAGAAGAAAGCAGGAAAGAAGAAAAAAUAAAAAAUAUAAGUAGAAAUAUCAAAUAAAAAAUAAAUCCCAAUAAAAUAUUGAUUAAAAUAUAUGGUAAAGCUAUGACAUUAGGGCUCUCCAGAGAAACAAAACCAAUGAUAUAUGUAUUUUUUUCUUCUUCAUAUAUUGUAUAUUAUAUUGUCCUUAAUCUUCCAUGAAAAAUUAGAUAUGCAUGAAUCCUACCUAAUGAAAAAGGACAUCUCAUCUCUUUCAUGCAGCAAUAAUUAACCACAUGAUUUCACACACCCACUAGGACUAAAGGUAUUUCAUGGAGGGAUUUGAGAGUAGAAUACAUUAAUAUGUACUGGUCACAAAUCUCAAAUAGGGUCAAUAUACAAAAGCCUAUGCUGAAAUUAAUUACACCUGUUUAAAAAUCCAUUCCCUUAAUCUUUUGUAGCAUAUUAGCAAAUACUUUAUCUAAAGGUUUAGCAUUGGAUUACUCCCUAUAACAAAUACUCUGAAUUAAAAUAAUGCCUGAAAAAGUUACUGACUUACUUCUUUCUACUGUGAAUUAUGUGAUAUUUAUUCACAUUUGAUUUUCAUUUAACUAUUUUCCUAUUUUUCUUUAAUCUUCACGUUACUUUCCUUUACACACUCUCUGGUAUUUUCUAAAGUAUAUAUUUAAAACAUAGUUUUAAUUAAAUUAAUUAAAUAUAAAAUAUACACAAGAUAUGAAGAAAAUCUAAAUGGAAAUAAUGUUUGUGGUUGACUUACAACAUUGAUGUAAGUUACCAUGAAAUAGGUGUUGGGGCAUCAUUAUUCUGUGUUAGUAAGACUGAGGAACAUUAAUCGGAUAAAUAAAAUGGUUUACCCAUUGGUCUUUAAGAAAAAGAGGUGGUAGGCCAGUAAAAAACUGACAUAGCUUCAUAAUAGCAAUAAUUAGAAGUAGAAAAUAAUAGUUGAUGUGGAUGAAAGGAAGAAAUCUUCUCAGAUAUCAGAGGGUAACUAACUUUUCCUAAAUAGGGCACAUAAUUGUAUAUCCACAUUUCUUAGUAAUUACCUCAAACCUGAAAAUUAUGGAAAUCACCACUCCCAGAUCAUUGUAUCAGCAUAAGUAUGCUGGUUGAAUGCCUAUAUUCUGU